Molecule: transfer RNA, 72 nt
Filed under: Bos taurus (domestic cattle)
Lineage: Eukaryota; Metazoa; Chordata; Mammalia; Artiodactyla; Bovidae
Rfam family: tRNA
About the family: Transfer RNA (tRNA) molecules are approximately 80 nucleotides in length. Their secondary structure includes four short double-helical elements and three loops (D, anti-codon, and T loops).
Source: Rfam by way of RNAcentral
UCCCUUGUAGCUCAGUCAGUAAAGAGUUUGCCUGCAAUGCAGAAGACCCAGGUUCGAUCCCUGGGUCAGGAA